This 293-nucleotide unclassified non-coding RNA is filed under the name fungal sp. RNAcentral's name for it is "partial contains 5.8S ribosomal RNA, internal transcribed spacer 2, and large subunit ribosomal RNA". The stretch from base 1 to 105 matches the Rfam family "5.8S ribosomal RNA", at positions 50 to 154 of the family's 154-position model. The record is from RNAcentral. Lineage: Eukaryota; Fungi. RNAcentral also lists the same sequence under 1 other name.
GAAAUGCGAUAAGUAAUGUGAAUUGCAGAAUUCAGUGAAUCAUCGAAUCUUUGAACGCACAUUGCGCCCCUUGGUAUUCCGGGGGGCAUGCCUGUUCGAGCGUCAUUACAACCCUCAAGCUCUGCUUGGUAUUGGGCGUCCCCGGCAACGGGGUGCCCUAAAAUCAGUGGCGGUGCCGUCUGGCUCUAAGCGUAGUAAAUCUCUCGCUCUGGAUGCCCGGUGGAUGCUCGCCAGUAACCCCCAAUUUUUUACAGGUUGACCUCGGAUCAGGUAGGGAUACCCGCUGAACUUAA